GCUGGGCGUGAUGGCACACACCUGUAAUCCCAGAAGCUUGGGAAGCUGAGGCAGGAGCAUCAGGAAUACAAAACCAGCUUCAGCAAAAACAAGGUGCUAAGCAACUUAGUAAGACCCUGUCUCUA
Molecule: small RNA, 125 nt
Filed under: Marmota monax (woodchuck)
Lineage: Eukaryota; Metazoa; Chordata; Mammalia; Rodentia; Sciuridae
Source: RNAcentral